Molecule: non-coding RNA, 320 nt
Organism: Paramuricea clavata
Lineage: Eukaryota; Metazoa; Cnidaria; Anthozoa; Malacalcyonacea; Plexauridae
Source: the annotation of a GenBank genome assembly
CGCGGUCAGGACGGUUCGAGUAAGUGAUAUUUCGGAACAGUAUCUAGUUCCUUCAAUACCAAUGUGUUCUGGUAAUAUGAAUUUUUUUCUGUGCUGGUGUUGUGUACUCAGGUGAAUAAUAUGUUUGUGAUGUUACUCUGAGUGCAUAUCCACACCGGGCGAGCUUGAAAAAUAUGCCCGGCCUCGGUGGGAUUCGAACCUACGACCUUUGGAAUACUAGCCCAAUGCUCUUCCAACUGAGCUACGCGGUCAGGACGGUUCGAGUAAGUGAUAUUUCGGAACAGUAUCUAGUUCCUUCAAUACCAAUGUGUUCUAGUAAU